AUGAGGAACCACUUUCACCAUUUGUGUGUGCCUAAAUUGCAGGUAUUUAUCUCUUUGUUUUGUUUUCUGGGCAUCAACCCCUUUUUAACAGUGUGUAAGGCUGACUGCCAGAAGAGAGCAGAAGGAAGGGAUGAACAAGAUGGGAAGAGAGAACAACAUGAAAAGAAGACGGUUUCCUCUGCUUUUCACCAUUUUCCCCAGCUCCGUCUGAUGAAGUCCUUAGAGAUCUCUACCCAGGGUGAAGUUCGUACAGAAAUGGGACUGGUGUGGAAAUAGUUACUGCUCAUCACUGCCUUCACAAUAAUUGUGUCCACCACAGCGUUCUGAUUUAAUUCUCAUUGUUUAAAUUGCUGCAUAUCUAUUUUGGGAUCAUCAAAUGACAACCAGAUUCAGAAGAUGCCAUUACCUACUAACAAAGUCCCACAAAUGAAGCAAGGGAACAAACAUAUUAUUGCAUUGCUGAGGGUUUCAGAAAAACUAGAGAUAGUCUUGAUCUGGUCAAUGAAAUAGAUAAAUUACCUUUGUGUCUCCCCUUCAAAAAUGUAUUCACAGAUAUUCUUUUACUGAGGCAUUUACACAGCUGAAUCUUUAAAAGGCUGGCAUCAGAAGCAACUGCUUAAUUUGCCCCUCAGAUUAGGUUAGCCCUGUAGGCACCAGAUUUCUUCAGUACUUGCACAUUUCAUGACUGAGUCAGAGAACAUCUUUGUAGCAUUUGGGAACCUACACCCAGUUGGUAAAGGCAGGGCAGGAAGCCAGCCUAAGCCAUUAAAAAUGCCUUGAAUGAAAUGGUGUUUUAAUACAUUAUUAAGAAAUGAUCAGAGCAGUCAUUGCAGGGAGGAAAAAAAGAAGACAUAUAAAAGGUUCUUAUCAGAGAAUAAACCAGUCAAGCUGAACAUGGAGGGCUGCAUAUGUGAUUGCUUUCCAGCUAAGCAGAUCAGCCAAGGAAGUCCUCUACCGACACAUACAGCUCAAAAUGUCAAGCUGAUUGCUAGAGCUUUCAUGUCAAUUUACAUAAAUUAUCCAUAAAGCUCUCAUAUUUUAUUUCUAAAAAUUAUGUUUGCCAGUAUUCAUAAUCUAAUUAAGUGAGAAUAUAGUAGUGGUUACAGUUGAUUGCAUCUUUUGAAAAUGUAGUCUAUCAAUUCUACAUGACAAUGAGAGACAGUAAUUCCAGUCAAUUCCACAUUUUUCUCUCUAAUCCUUGUUCAGCAGAUAUAAGCAAAGCAGUCACUGUUCUCAUCAUCUUGCAAAGGUGGACUGAAAACCCCAGAUAAUGUAACAUUGCCCACUUUCUCUAUUUCUAACAGUUGCUAUAACUAUUGACUGUUCGUGAAUUGCAUAAACUAUUCAGCCUCUUGGAAGCCGAGGAAAACAAUAACCCACAGAAUCAAAACCUAAUGCUCUCAUUCACUUAUUAGCUUUAAUGAGCCGUAAGGAAUUUCAUCACUUAAAGAACAAUUCCUUCACUUCUGAAGGGGAAUCAGAAACUUCUUGCUUAUGGGUUGUUAGAUGUUGUGGGCCACCAUCUCUGUAUGAAGAGAGGAAGGUCUCAAAGUGAAAAGUGUCCUACCCCCAGAUCCCUUUUUUAUUAUACCUAAAUAAAGUUCUGUGUCUGUUCUGAACUCACUGUUGUUUCUUCCAUGGUUACAAAGGCUGAAAUAAGAUGUAAAUGGUAACAUGCAACUAAUGCUUGGCUUUGGGAGUGAAAUUUAAGGCCCCACAACCUGGAGUGGUUGAAAUAACUGCUAAGUCAAUGACAGGGACCUGGCAUGUGCCAGAUGUGGGAUGAGAUGAGGGCUAAACACUUCAGAUAUGGAUUGAUGGACAGAUAUUUCAUAGUCUGAAUGUUGUGUGAUUUCAGCUCCCCUAAAUCAUGAUGUUCCAAAGCCUGAAGUGCUAAACAGCCAGAAGAUCAAAUCAGGACACAGAUGGGAAUGAAGGCAAAAGCAGAGGUUUUUAUUCUUCCUGACCAGAAAGAUUAUCAGCAGAGCUAGUGUUCAAAGUACUUGACAUACCCCAACGGUGAACACAUGGGCUUAUAUAUAGUACAUUUGACAAAAAGAAGAAGCAGUACAGAACAACUGAAAAUUGCCACACUGUUUUCCAAUUGGCCCUGUAGGGUGUUGGCUAGGACCCGCAGCCCCAUUGGUGGAGGUGUGAAUUGGCACGGAGGACCUCAUCAAUGUGAUGAAAUCCUAAGAAUCAACUGAAUCUAUGUGUGGAGUUACCAUUCAACAAUUGAUUAAACAAGUAUGACUCCUCAGCCCAGAAACUCAAUUAAUGAUUUGAACAAGUCACAUUUGUUUAAUAAUAAUAAUAAUAAUAAUAAUAAUAAUAAUAAUAAUAAUAAUAAUUUAUUUUUCUAUCCUGCCAUCAUCUCCCCAAAGGGACUCGGGGUGGCUAACAUGGGGGCCAAGCCCAAAACAGAAACAAAAUAUGACAGUUAAAACCAAUGUAAGUAAGUAAAAACAAUAUCAGCAUAACACUCAGAUAUAACAGACAAAUUAAAAACACAAAAUACAAAAACAGCAUAAUGACCCGAUAGGGAAGGUAGUGAAAACAUCAUCACCAUCAAUGGAUAAAAUGGGGGCAUUGAGAAAUGCAAUGGCAAAAUUGUCUUAAUAAACCUUGCUAAGAUCAUGCCAUGAUAGAGCAAUUAUUAGUCAUAACUAAACACACACACAAUGGCAAACAUGAACAAAGCAACAGGACUCCAGGCAUAUAUUCCACAGUUUUGGAUAGUUCCAAUGCCUUUCAUUGUAGCACUUUAUUCAUGGUUCUUUUACAUCCCCUAGUACAUAACAGAACAAUAAGCAAACCCAUUGGUAGUUACCAAUUAAUUGCAUAAUGCUAAGUAUGCUGUUGAAGUAUGGUGUAGCAUUACCAAAAUGUAACCAUGUGAGUGUAGAAUUAUGUGAUGCAAACACAAUGUGGGACCUUGGCCUAUUUUUGUUGGAUUCUUUAGGAAUGUUGAAAUAAGGAAUGGCAAUGUUCUGCAGGGUGACUGGGAAUAGAGACUGACAGUUAUGUGGAGUAAUGGAUAUGACUGUCUCAGUUGGAAACACUUUUGAACAAUAAAGUAUAGGAUCUAAAAUUGGUUAGCUGCAUCAUUAAUUGAUUGACACAACAUGGCUUAAGAUAAAUUGGGUCCAAAGCUCCUUAAUACCUCAUCCAUGCCAUUUAAUUUGGGAGGCAGAAUCCCACAAGCCACAGUCAAAAUAAGUAUUUAAAGCACUCUGCCUCAAUUUUCCAGAUACUUUUGUCUACAACUUCCAUGAUCCCUAGACCAUGUUAGCAGUGGUUAUGGCCAGAAUGGCAAAAGAAGAAUUAAUUUUACAAAAAAAGAAAGCAAUUGUUCCACAGUAGUGCAGUAUAGUCUUUUGUAUUCAAGAGAUGACAUAGAUAAAAUUUUGGAGCCACAUUUUAUGUAUUUGCUCAAUUAUUUGUCCAUUAUUUAGUCAAUUUG
Molecule: long non-coding RNA, 3463 nt
Filed under: Anolis carolinensis (green anole)
Lineage: Eukaryota; Metazoa; Chordata; Lepidosauria; Squamata; Anolidae
Description: lncRNA (ENSACAG00000031503.2)
Source: RNAcentral